Molecule: ribosomal RNA, 855 nt
Filed under: uncultured bacterium
Lineage: Bacteria
Description: bacterial SSU rRNA
Rfam family: Bacterial small subunit ribosomal RNA
Source: RNAcentral
AGAGUUUGAUUUUGGCUCAGGAUGAACGCUGGCGGCGUGCUUAACACAUGCAAGUCGAACGGGAAAUAUUUCAUUGAGACUUCGGUGGAUUUGAUCUAUUUCUAGUGGCGGACGGGUGAGUAACGCGUGGGUAACCUGCCUUAUACAGGGGGAUAACAGUCAGAAAUGGCUGCUAAUACCGCAUAAGCGCACAGAGCUGCAUGGCUCAGUGUGAAAAACUCCGGUGGUAUAAGAUGGACCCGCGUUGGAUUAGCUAGUUGGUGAGGUAACGGCCUACCAAGGCGACGAUCCAUAGCCGGCCUGAGAGGGUGAACGGCCACAUUGGGACUGAGACACGGCCCAGACUCCUACGGGAGGCAGCAGUGGGGAAUAUUGCACAAUGGGGGAAACCCUGAUGCAGCGACGCCGCGUGAAGGAAGAAGUAUCUCGGUAUGUAAACUUCUAUCAGCAGGGAAGAUAGUGACGGUACCUGACUAAGAAGCCCCGGCUAACUACGUGCCAGCAGCCGCGGUAAUACGUAGGGGGCAAGCGUUAUCCGGAUUUACUGGGUGUAAAGGGAGCGUAGACGGUGUGGCAAGUCUGAUGUGAAAGGCAUGGGCUCAACCUGUGGACUGCAUUGGAAACUGUCAUACUUGAGUGCCGGAGGGGUAAGCGGAAUUCCUAGUGUAGCGGUGAAAUGCGUAGAUAUUAGGAGGAACACCAGUGGCGAAGGCGGCUUACUGGACGGUAACUGACGUUGAGGCUCGAAAGCGUGGGGAGCAAACAAGAUUCGAUACCCUGGUAGUCCACGCCGUAAACGAUCAAAAAUGGGUGUCGGGUGGCAAAGCCAUUCGGUGCCGUCGCAAACGCAGUAAG